This 449-nucleotide ribosomal RNA is filed under the name uncultured bacterium. Its description in RNAcentral is "partial 16S ribosomal RNA". It matches the Rfam family "Bacterial small subunit ribosomal RNA", at positions 29 to 523 of the family's 1533-position model. The record is from RNAcentral.
AACGAACGCUGGCGGCAUGCCUAACACAUGCAAGUCGAACGAGAUCUUCGGGUCUAGUGGCGCACGGGUGCGUAACGCGUGGGAAUCUGCCCUUUGGUUCGGAAUAACAGUUGGAGACGACUGCUAAUACCGGAUGAUGACGAAAGUCCAAAGAUUUAUCGCCAGAGGAUGAGCCCGCGUAGGAUUAGCUAGUUGGUGUGGUAAAGGCGCACCAAGGCGACGAUCCUUAGCUGGUCUGAGAGGAUGAUCAGACACACUGGGACUGAGACACGGACCAGACUCGUACGGGGGGAAGCGGUGGGGAAUAUUGGACAAUGGGCGAAAACCUGAGCCAGCAAUGCCGCGUGAGUGAUGAAGGCCUUAGGGUUGUAAAGCUCUUUUACCCGGGAUGAUAAUGACACUACCGGGAGAAUAAGCUCCGGCUAACUCCGUGCCAGCCGCCGCCGUAA